Small nucleolar RNA from Vitis vinifera (wine grape), 149 nucleotides. It matches the Rfam family "small nucleolar RNA snoR135". NCBI's taxonomy places the organism in Eukaryota, Viridiplantae, Streptophyta, Magnoliopsida, Vitales, Vitaceae. The record is from Rfam.
UGAGCAAGGAUUGGUUUAUUGGCAUUGUGCUACAGUCAAGGCACUCUUUUAUGCCAAACAUUCCUUGCAACACUGGCCCAGUAAAGAUGGGCAGUCUUUUAUUUCAUUCCAAACAUCAAAAACUCCGACAAAUCAUCUUCCCAAAGUGA